This is a non-coding RNA of Chrysemys picta bellii (western painted turtle), 1990 nucleotides long. The record is from RefSeq and is a predicted model, not a curated record. Lineage: Eukaryota; Metazoa; Chordata; Testudines; Emydidae.
GAGACCGGGCCUCAGCCGGAGUCCGGGUCCGAGCAGGAGCCCGAAUAAUCCGAGUCCCAGCCUGGCCCGGCCUGCCUCGCCUGGAGCCCCCUGGAGGUGGCUGAGUGGGUUCGGCAGCUGGGCUUCCCUCAGUACGAGGACUGCUUUACAACUAACUGCAUCACUGGCCGCAAACUCAUCCAUGUUAACUGCUCAAACCUGCCACAGAUGGGCAUAACGGACUUUGACCACAUGAAGGAGAUUUCAUGGCAUGUGCGAGAGCUGCUGGGGAUUGAGGAGCCUCUCUGGAGCAGAAGCACUGCCCUCCCUUACAGGGACAACCUGGGCUUGUUUCUAGAACACAAAGCCCCAACUGGUGCAAAAGCUGAUGCCCUCACCUUCUCUCAGUUUGUCCAAGAAACAGGAUUAGAGCCAUAUGCUACAAUUCCACCUUUGUAAAAAUCCCAGACUGCUGUGAAAGCAGACGCCCUCGCCUUCUUUGUUCAAGAAGCUACAAUUCCAUCCUCUCCGGAUUAAAGAAAGGCACAUCGAUACUGUGAUUUGUUUAGUGCUGACAGUAUGCUCAGCCAUGCACAGUCCCUCGCUUGAACACGCUUGCCAUUUAAACUUCUACUCCUAAAGAAACCCCUCUGGGAUAUUGCCAGGUGCCGAACUCAUUAGUUCAGUUAUAUUAUCCUAAAGGUUCCCUUUUUCCCCCAUUGCAGGAGCUCUGUGAGGCUCAGUCAUGUCUGAAUACCUAUCAACUGCUGCUACUUCACAUGUUAUCACCUAGACCAUAGAUAAAUCUUAAUCACCUUUCACUGACACCGCUUUCGUCAAGCUCAGGUGAUAGAUUAUAAGGCUUUUCCCCAAACUCUAGUCUUUGCCAUUACAGAUCCAGCUGACCUCAUUCACUGAUCCCACACACAGAAAUAAGUUUAAAGAGUUAAGUGAUGUAUAUAAUAAUUUCCUUAUGAUAUAGUGCCUUGUGUUGUAAAGGAUCUCAAGAUGCUCUACAAACUAUAUAAUGCAGGAAUCCCUUUCCUCAUGGAGAGAAGUAUCAUGCAAUCUUUUACAUGGUUAGGAUUUUGGUUUUACAUCUCAUCCUACACUUUUAGGUCUCAUCAACACUUUCAGCAGCAAGGCAUCUCCUGGCACUAUGAUUAAGUGGUGGUUCAAUCCUGACAAAGGAAAAAAUGCUUCCUACUGAAUCAUCACUACCAUUUUCAGCAGCAGCAGCAGGGAUUUCCUUGAUCCCCAGUCCAAAUAGCGAACAGGUACAAUCCUCUUUAGUGUGUGAGAUCUUAUUAGUUCAAAACCCAAUGUGGUGGGACUGCAGCCACUGUACGGCUGCUCUCCUGCUUACCUGUCAAAAAUGCUACAGAAAGUGAAUGUGCCCAACACUCUGAAUUGAGGUCUUAGGACAAAAUGCCAUUUUAAUAAGUGAGCUUGGAUUGAAAUAAAGCAGUUAUCUGGCAGAGUGCUAACGUCCCAGGCAAGCAGGUUUAAUAGAAAACCAAAACAAACAAAAGCAUGCACUGAUUAGAGUAACAUUGCAGAUUCCACUAAACAUUUAAAGAGCAAGCAGCGCAAAUUCCCACUUUUUCCUCAUCUCGCUCUGGGACAGAUAGUCAUCACUGUUAGGUUCCAGGACUGUUCAGUAACAGCCAUGCUUGUUGGCCCACUGACUCCAAUACUUUGUUGAACAGUGACCCUUUCCAGAGAGAGGACUCAGAGCUACCACAUGUAAACCCCAAAGAUUUUAGCAGUAGCCAACUCAUGUUCUGUGAAGGUGUUACCAAGACCUAUAUGUGGCCACAAGAUAGGCAAGACUGCAGAUGGUGUGACAAAGCUCUGUCCUUGUCUCAGUGGGUCCCAUGCUUUCUGGCGGAUUUCGCUAGCCUCAGAGGCUCACUGUGACCCCCUCCCCCCCAUAGCCCUUCUCUCUCUCUAGAGGCAAGGGUCACAGCCUACUGAGCCAUUUUCAUCAUAAGCCAGCAAGGGAGGUGAG